RNAcentral lists this long non-coding RNA (408 nucleotides) under Phaseolus vulgaris (common bean). RNAcentral describes it as "long non-coding RNA (PVUL_LNC003242)". Lineage: Eukaryota; Viridiplantae; Streptophyta; Magnoliopsida; Fabales; Fabaceae. The record is from RNAcentral.
GCUUUCUAACCAGAUUACCUGUAAAAAUUAAAUACCAACCAAACCAAAUCACAUUGAAACAAAUUCCUAUCAUUCACAAUACAUCUAUAAACACCCAAAUCCACAAACACAUCCAAAGUAUGAAAUUAAAAUCCAGAAACACAUCCAAAGUAGAAAAGCAAUAGAAAUAGUUAAACAAAAGAUAUGAAUACUUGAAAAAAUAUUACAACUAAAAUUGUACAUUACAAAUUUAACUAGAAGUAGCAAAAUGAAUCUCAUAGUGAUGUGAUAAACCUGAUGUGAUAAACCUGUAAAAAAAUAUAAACAAUAUAAAUAAAUAAAUCAAAUAAUUAAAAUAUUUAGUAUAUAAUAAAAAUAUCAAAUAGUUAAACUUACAUUAUAGGAUGUACUUUAAGAAAUAGGUUNNNN